AAAGGGCCGACCGACGGUGGAUGUCGGAUGGUGCUGGAGGGGUUCAACCACAACGGAAGCUCGGAUGAAGGCUUACGAUGGAAAUCCGGCACGGACCGCUCGUGGUAGAAACUUAAAGUAGAUCGUUUGUAGUGGAAACUCAGAGCGGGUCGCUUGCGGUAGGAGCUCGGGAUGAGAUUUACCUGCAGUCGAAGUCGGGGGCGAAGUCCGGC
Molecule: long non-coding RNA, 212 nt
Filed under: Elaeis guineensis (African oil palm)
Lineage: Eukaryota; Viridiplantae; Streptophyta; Magnoliopsida; Arecales; Arecaceae
Description: long non-coding RNA (EGUI_LNC070134)
Source: RNAcentral